RNAcentral lists this ribosomal RNA (414 nucleotides) under uncultured bacterium. RNAcentral's name for it is "bacterial SSU rRNA". It matches the Rfam family "Bacterial small subunit ribosomal RNA", at positions 335 to 740 of the family's 1533-position model. The record is from RNAcentral.
ACUCCUACGGGAGGCAGCAGUGGGGAAUAUUGCACAAUGGGGAACCCGAUGAUGCAGCCAUGCCGCGUGUGUGAAGAAGGCCUUCGGGUUGUAAAGCACUUUCAGUAGGGAGGAAGGUAGUGUAGUUAACACCUGCACUAUUUGACGUUACCUACAGAAGAAGCACCGGCUAACUCCGUGCCAGCAGCCGCGGUAAUACGGAGGGUGCGAGCGUUAAUCGGAAUUACUGGGCGUAAAGCGCAUGCAGGCGGCCUGUUAAGUCAGAUGUGAAAGCCCGGGGCUUAACCUCGGAAUUGCAUUUGAAACUGGCAGGCUAGAGUCUUGUAGAGGGGGUGAGAAUUUCAGGUGUAGCGGUGAAAUGCGUAGAGAUCUGAAGGAAUACCAGUGGCGAAGGCGGCCCCCUCGGAGCAGAUC